GCCAGGCAUGGUGGCGCACGCCUGUCAUCCCCACAGCUCGGGAGGCUGAGGCAGGAGGAUCACAAGUUCAAAGCCAGCCUCAGCAACAGUGAGGUGCUAAGCAACUCAGUGAGACCCUGUUUCUA
Molecule: small RNA, 125 nt
Filed under: Marmota monax (woodchuck)
Lineage: Eukaryota; Metazoa; Chordata; Mammalia; Rodentia; Sciuridae
Source: RNAcentral